CGUAGCUCAGCUGGUUAGAGCAUCUGACUGUUAAUCAGAGGGUCGUUGGUUCGAGUCCAACCGGGG
Molecule: transfer RNA, 66 nt
Filed under: human oral metagenome
Rfam family: tRNA
About the family: Transfer RNA (tRNA) molecules are approximately 80 nucleotides in length. Their secondary structure includes four short double-helical elements and three loops (D, anti-codon, and T loops).
Source: RNAcentral